AAAUGAUUUAUUUAUUUUUUAUUGUGAUUCAACUUAUAAAGAAUCUCAUAAAAAAUUGUGUUUUUCCUUAAACCAAAUAAUUUUCAGUUAUUUUGAGUUUUAACAUUGAUAAAAUUCAUUACAAGCUUAAUUUGUCUUAAGGUUAAAGUUGGUGCAUCAAGGGAAUAGAAUCCCCAACCAAACCAUUCUUAUUUAUAACAAAUCUAGCCAUCGAUUGCAAGAGCGUUUGAGUUUGGUUUGUGGUGGGCUCUUUAUACAAGAAAAGAGGAAAUAAAGAGUUCCCUGUAGAAAAUACAACCAGAGACCUCCAAAAAGUGCUCAAAAAACAGCAGCAACCCGCAGGCAACACAAAGCGAAAACAGGGGAUUCCAUCAACAACAAUUAUUUGAGAGAAAAGAGCACCUUUACAUUGAAGCAUAGAUACAGUUAAGAAUGCGCAUGAAGGAAAUAUAUAAUACGAAAAUCACUCUGAGAGAAGAAGAGCUUCAUUGACUUUGUCUUCUCCGAGAAAGACAUGUAGGAAAUAUUAUUCAAAAAUACUCUUGAGAGCUACGCAAUAUUCCUGGCAGUUGCUUCCAGAGCAGACAGUACCUCCCUAGCCAAUGGAAUUACAAUCUUCUGUACAAUCCCAUUGUCAUGCAUCACUAUAAUUAUGACCAAACGAUGUGAAAUAAGCUUUGAGCAAAUUGACUCUUAAGCUUCCACCGAUAAGCUUUAAAAGCUUUUGUGGUCCUUAAUUUCUCUCUCCUAUCUAAUUGACAACUUAUUCAUCCUUAGCCAUUAUAUUCUGUGCAUGAAAACAACAUUUGUGUCAAUGUUUUAUUCUUGAGGUCUUGGUGAUGUAUGCAAAGGCAGCUCAAUUCCGUUAAGCAAAUAUGUGGCUCAAACAGCCUGAUAGCAUCCCUUAUAAUUAA
Long non-coding RNA from Theobroma umbraticum, 914 nucleotides. RefSeq lists it as uncharacterized. NCBI's taxonomy places the organism in Eukaryota, Viridiplantae, Streptophyta, Magnoliopsida, Malvales, Malvaceae. The record is from RefSeq and is a predicted model, not a curated record.